RNAcentral lists this ribosomal RNA (733 nucleotides) under uncultured Pseudomonadota bacterium. Its description in RNAcentral is "bacterial SSU rRNA". It matches the Rfam family "Bacterial small subunit ribosomal RNA", at positions 48 to 770 of the family's 1533-position model. Lineage: Bacteria; Pseudomonadati; Pseudomonadota. The record is from RNAcentral.
CUAACACAUGCAAGUCGAACGGUAACAGGAAGAAGCUUGCUUCUUUGCUGACGAGUGGCGGACGGGUGAGUAAUGUCUGGGAAACUGCCUGAUGGAGGGGGAUAACUACUGGAAACGGUAGCUAAUACCGCAUAACGUCGCAAGACCAAAGAGGGGGACCUUCGGGCCUCUUGCCAUCGGAUGUGCCCAGAUGGGAUUAGCUAGUAGGUGGGGUAACGGCUCACCUAGGCGACGAUCCCUAGCUGGUCUGAGAGGAUGACCAGCCACACUGGAACUGAGACACGGUCCAGACUCCUACGGGAGGCAGCAGUGGGGAAUAUUGCACAAUGGGCGCAAGCCUGAUGCAGCCAUGCCGCGUGUAUGAAGAAGGCCUUCGAGUUGUAAAGUACUUUCAGCGGGGAGGAAGGGAGUAAAGUUAAUACCUUUGCUCAUUGACGUUACCCGCAGAAGAAGCACCGGCUAACUCCGUGCCAGCAGCCGCGGUAAUACGGAGGGUGCAAGCGUUAAUCGGAAUUACUGGGCGUAAAGCGCACGCAGGCGGUUUGUUAAGUCAGAUGUGAAAUCCCCGGGCUCAACCUGGGAACUGCAUCUGAUACUGGCAAGCUUGAGUCUCGUAGAGGGGGGUAGAAUUCCAGGUGUAGCGGUGAAAUGCGUAGAGAUCUGGAGGAAUACCGGUGGCGAAGGCGGCCCCCUGGACGAAGACUGACGCUCAGGUGCGAAAGCGUGGGGAGCA